Electrophorus electricus (electric eel) is the source of this 1051-nucleotide non-coding RNA. The record is from RefSeq and is a predicted model, not a curated record. Lineage: Eukaryota; Metazoa; Chordata; Actinopteri; Gymnotiformes; Gymnotidae.
UCUGUCAUUGCCAACCAAAAUCUGCUUCUUGCCACUUUUCUAAAUGGAAACCCACCGAGCGUGACUAAGAGGCCUCUCUGCACCGCCAUGCAGAACGUUCCGCCAAUUACCCGAAAUCAAAGAUGGUUGUUGUUAGGAUUUUUUUCUCACGUACCCUGGGACUGAGUCAGACGCGACAUACAUCCAGCUCCGGCUGCACAGCGCUUACUGGACACCUGUGUCUAACCACACGCUCAUUAAAAGGCAGACGACUCCAGGAAGUGGAGACCUUAAUCUGUGGCUUAGACAAAAGGAGGGAAAGAGAUUCCCAGAGGGAAACCGGCUGGAAUGUGACAUGCACGUCGCGGUCCGUGUGUGGAGAUGAGCAGCAGACCCGUAUUUCGAGGCCAGAUUAGAUCUGGUGGGGGUUUUCAGCCCGAGGAGACAAGAUAAAUGAACACAAUUUGUGCUCCUUUGUUAUUUCCAGCGUUGGCCGUUUCCCUGACCUCCAGCGGGCCGGUGGAGAGAGACAGUGCUUGGUGCCUGAUCGCAGUGAUCUGGACGCGAUCUAAUGAGGCCAUCUUUCAGCGCGGCUAUGAGGAGUCAUGCGUCUGACUGCGUCGGUCCGCUCAUGGUCGUCUGGAUAAGUAAAAUCAAUAGAGGCAGUGAGAGGAACAGCUGGUGACGCCUCCUGGUGGGAGCUUGUUCGUACACCUGCAGAGCAGUGCUGGCCUAUGACUCCUCCAGGCUCAACUCACAAAGAUUUACACCAAGUGCAGCCGUCCUGUUUUUGGACCCGUGUACAGAUGGCUAUUUCUGUAGGAUGAUGAGACCCACACACUUUCACAUGGGAGCAUAUCAGUUGUAGGAGACAUCGUGAAUGCAGCUGAAAUGAACUCGCUUCCCCCAUGGCCCCCUGUGACAUCGUCCACUAUGUUUAUGUGUUUCUAUGUUUAUCUGAGUGUGCUGCUACCAAGCUUAAUGCUGGCAUCAUUGAGGUAACAGAUGCGAGCGGACCUCCCACCAAUCACACAGUGGAAACAGGUGUCACAUGACCACUCUGCAAUAAAAC